CUCAGUUCGGAUUGUAGUCUGCAACCCGACUACAUGAAGCUGGAAUCGCUAGUAAUCGCAGAUCAGAAUGCUGCGGUGAAUACGUUCCCGGGUCUUGUACACACCGCCCGUCACACCAUGGGAGUUGGAAAUGCCCGAAGCCAGUGACCCAACCGUAAGGAGGGAGCUGUCGAAGGUGGAGCCGAUGACUGGGGUGAAGUCGUAACAAGGUAAC
RNAcentral lists this ribosomal RNA (214 nucleotides) under uncultured bacterium. RNAcentral describes it as "partial 16S ribosomal RNA". It matches the Rfam family "Bacterial small subunit ribosomal RNA", at positions 1287 to 1500 of the family's 1533-position model. The record is from RNAcentral.